UACAGAGGGUGCAAGCGUUGUUCGGAAUUAUUGGGCGUAAAGCGCGUGUAGGCGGCGUGGCAAGUCGGGUGUGAAAGCCCUCAGCUCAACUGAGGAAGUGCGCCCGAAACUGCUGUGCUUGAGUGCCGGAGAGGGUGGCGGAAUUCCAGGUGUAGCGGUGAAAUGCGUAGAUAUCUGGAGGAACACCGGUGGCGAAGGCGGCAUCCUGGACCGGUAUUGACGCUGAGGCGCGAAAGCUAGGGGAGCAAACGGGG
This 254-nucleotide ribosomal RNA is filed under the name uncultured bacterium. RNAcentral's name for it is "partial 16S ribosomal RNA". It matches the Rfam family "Bacterial small subunit ribosomal RNA", at positions 524 to 777 of the family's 1533-position model. The record is from RNAcentral.